Long non-coding RNA from Gorilla gorilla gorilla (western lowland gorilla), 1043 nucleotides. RefSeq lists it as uncharacterized. The transcript has 3 exons. NCBI's taxonomy places the organism in Eukaryota, Metazoa, Chordata, Mammalia, Primates, Hominidae. The record is from RefSeq and is a predicted model, not a curated record.
UCCAGAAUGUGAAGGGAGAGGAACUCAGCUCAGCUCAUUUCAGCCAUUGCCAUCAGAUACCAAAGGAAGCCGGACCUGACUGUGAUUGGAGAAGAGCGGAUGCCCUAAAAUGUCCUCCCAUUGAGAAGUAAUUAAAAACUAUUUUUCAGGCCGGGCGCAGUGGCUCACGCCUGUAAUCUCAGCACUUUGGGAGGCCGAGGCGGGCGGAUCAUGAGGUCAGGAGAUGGAGACCAUCCUGCCUAACAAGAUUUCUCCAAAAGACUCUUUAAAUCUCCUACCUGGAAGGUGAGGCUCUGGCUGCCACAGUUCCAGGGCCCAGUGGAGAUAGAAAGCCAGAAGUCUCCAUAUUCAAGACUAAGAAUGAGGAGAAAAAAUAGGAAGGAGGAUGGCUGGAGAUGUAAAUUCAACAAGUAUUGCAAGAGGCUAGGAGAUUGGAGAAAAUAGUGGUGCCAUGGGAGCAUCAGAGGAGUCAAGGAGGACCAGAUCAGAGUUUGGUUGCACUGACUAGAAGGAAGCACGGGGCAAGGACUGGCUCACUCUCUGAAGGAAAGCGGUGGUUGCAGGGCCAUUGUUCCGAGGGACACAGGGUUUGGAAAGAGCAGGGGACCAACGGUGUCAGAAGGAAGAAUUGUCAUGUCAGGAGAAGGCUUCUGGAGAAUAUUGGUCUUGGGAGACCAGAUUUUAAGCUUCAUACAACAGUUUUAUAAAAAGCAUUAUUCAGGUACAAUUGGCAUAAAGUGCACAUAUUUUAACUGUACAAUUUGUUAGGUUUUAAUUUAGGUAUGUACCCAUGAACCAUCACCACAAUCAAGACGGUGAACACAUCCAUCACUCCUCAAAGUUUCCUUGUUCCUCUUUAUAAUCCGGCCCUCUUGCCAUCCCCAUCCUCUACACCCCAAGCAACCACUGAUCUGCUGUCACUAUUGAUGAGUUUGCAUUUUCUAGAUUUAUAUAAUGGAAUCAUACAGCAUAUACUUUUUUUCGGGCUUCUUUCACUUAGCAUAAUUAUUUUGAUAUUCUUAUAUACUCCGUAUCAAUGUUCA